UCAGCUGUGCUUACUUGUAAUUGUUUAUAGUUCAUUCGAAACUAUUUUAUGCAUUUACUGACUUAGUUUAAAUGCAAAUGCCUUGUGUUCUGUGCUCUAAGACUGGUAAUGAUGCAAACUGCAUAUAUAAUUUGCCUCGGAAAUGUUCACUGAGGCUUACGUUGGUUGCAUCGUGGAGAAACACUUUUGGAUUCAGAUCUCGGUCCUACGACUAUGUGGGCGUCGUCUUCUAGGUGGAUCUGCUGCGUUUCCUCAUCUAUCUGAGUGUGGAUGAAGCCCGCUGGAGCAAAAGGUUCCAAAGGAGAGACAUGCACCAGAAGUGGAUGCCAUCAUUUACAAGGAACCCUUGCUGAAGAACGAGCAAGCAAUGAGCCUAAUAGGACUUACCCAUAUGUCGGUCUUAAAGGGUGCUAGCGAGGAAUUGAAGAUGGUACCUAAGCAAAGAAACCUCAACUAUAUUGAAAUCGAGUUCCCCUUAGUAGUCUUAUUAAUUUCUGCUGUGCCUGAGGAUAAGGAGGAGCAUGAUAUCUUGCCCAGAAACUACAUCAGCGGUAACGAAGAGAUGGAAAAGGAGCAAGAGGACUUUAAAAAAUCCCAGGCGAAGCCAACAAUCCGUGGAUACUCUUGAUAUUUUCCACCUAGUAUACAAUGAAGCAGCGUGACCGGCUGGUUCAUUAGAAUUUUUAUGCUGUGAUGUCUGUGAACAAUCGAUCAGAGGAAGCAAAGCCUUGGCCAGGCUGAUAGAGGAACACAAGGGCACGCCGCAGGCAGCUAUAAAGCUAGACCUGCGGGAUUUUAUGCUACCAACCAUUUGACUCACCACAUAACAAAGCAGCAUACUGUCAAUCGUGCUCUUCCUGAAGAUCUAGAACAGUCUGCAGGAGCACCAUCACCUACACCCGCAUCGGGAACCUAAGUGCGAUAAGACCUUCAUGGGACCAAACGAGCUGAGGGUAAUCUUAGCAAGAUUAUUAACCCCUUUUGUCAGCUAUAAAUAGAAUUUCUUUGGAGAACACAUGACUACUCACAGGGGAAAGGUGACCUACACUUCCACACCUACAGGAAUGCCCAGCGAAAGAAGGUGCACCGCAAGAACUGGAAGGAGCACCGCCACCAGCGGAUGAAUCAUCCUCGAAAAUCGGACCGUAACACCAGGCAGGAUGAUGGGAUCGGAGGGGAGGAGUGAUAACAACACCCAUUAGCCCUGCAGCACGAGCUAGCCCUAGGUGACCCUUUGACCCAAUAAAAACCAAAUGAGACACGGCGCGGGGUAAACAA
Drosophila subpulchrella is the source of this 1278-nucleotide long non-coding RNA. RefSeq lists it as uncharacterized. The record is from RefSeq and is a predicted model, not a curated record. NCBI's taxonomy places the organism in Eukaryota, Metazoa, Arthropoda, Insecta, Diptera, Drosophilidae. The transcript is spliced from 2 exons.